This 455-nucleotide ribosomal RNA is filed under the name uncultured bacterium. RNAcentral describes it as "bacterial SSU rRNA". It matches the Rfam family "Bacterial small subunit ribosomal RNA", at positions 30 to 507 of the family's 1533-position model. The record is from RNAcentral.
AUUGAACGCUGGCGGAAUGCUUUACACAUGCAAGUCGAACGGUAGAGGGGGCAACCCCUCGAGAGUGGCGAACGGGUGAGUAAUAUAUCGGAACGUGCCCAGUCGUGGGGGAUAACGUAGCGAAAGUUACGCUAAUACCGCAUACGAUCUACGGAUGAAAGCGGGGGAUCGCAAGACCUCGCGCGAUUGGAGCGGCCGAUAUCAGAUUAGCUAGUUGGUGGGGUAAAGGCCUACCAAGGCGACGAUCCAUAGCUGGUCUGAGAGGAUGAUCAGCCACACUGGGACUGAGACACGGCCCAGACUCCUACGGGAGGCAGCAGUGGGGAAUAUUGGACAAUGGGCGAAAGCCUGAUCCAGCAAUGCCGCGUGAGUGAUGAAGGCCUUAGGGUUGUAAAGCUCUUUUACCCGAGAUGAUAAUGACAGUAUCGGGAGAAUAAGCUCCGGCUAACUCCGUG